UUUUUUUUUGAAUACUAAGAGAUUUUGGGCCGAAUGCCAUAAUCAUAAUAAUUCUAAUG
RNAcentral lists this small RNA (59 nucleotides) under Arabidopsis thaliana (thale cress). RNAcentral describes it as "ATSL106750". Lineage: Eukaryota; Viridiplantae; Streptophyta; Magnoliopsida; Brassicales; Brassicaceae. The record is from RNAcentral.